This is a long non-coding RNA of Poecilia reticulata (guppy), 626 nucleotides long. RefSeq lists it as uncharacterized. The record is from RefSeq and is a predicted model, not a curated record. Lineage: Eukaryota; Metazoa; Chordata; Actinopteri; Cyprinodontiformes; Poeciliidae.
CUGCUCUGGGCCUCUGACAGGAGUGUGAGACAGGAGUCAUCGCUGCCAAGGAGCGGCUCUGACUCACGCAACUUCUAUGACGAACCCUAAUAUAUAGCUUCAUCACUUCACACCUUGAGUACUGCAACAACCUCUUCCAAACCUGCACUAGCAACCCAUCUAUCUCAUUGUAUGCAAUUCAAAUUACUCCUCAUCACCUUCAAACUACCUGCAGUAACACAGUUACUGUAUUAAUGAAUACAGUAACAAAUGAAUCCAAAUGCUGUAUUCAUCAAAUAUGGCUCUAAAGACAUGUGACUUUGCAAUUUGUCGCCUUUAAAUUGUCCUCUGUCUCUUUAAGAAGCUCUAAAUGUUUGGGAUUAUUGUACUGUUGCAACAUUCCAUUGUCUCCAAUUUUCAACCAUCUAGUUGUUGAUUUGAUUUGAAGUGGAGUUAGUUUUAUUCCUUUAAUGUUACACAUGCUAUGAGCUUUUACCACUGAUGACAAAACAGUCCCACAACAUAAUGCUGCCACCACCGUGCUUGAUAUUUGGUACAAUGUGCUUAAGUUUGAGAGUUUCAAUUUACACAUCCAAACAUGUAUCUGUUUUCUAUUUGACAAUAAAAACAUUUCCAGAUCAAAUGUA